This 484-nucleotide ribosomal RNA is filed under the name bacterium 4753K4-B11. RNAcentral's name for it is "bacterial SSU rRNA". It matches the Rfam family "Bacterial small subunit ribosomal RNA", at positions 48 to 527 of the family's 1533-position model. The record is from RNAcentral.
CUAACACAUGCAAGUCGAGCGGUAACAGAAAGUAGCUUGCUACUUUGCUGACGAGCGGCGGACGGGUGAGUAAUGCUUGGGAACAUGCCUUGAGGUGGGGGACAACAGUUGGAAACGACUGCUAAUACCGCAUAAUGUCUACGGACCAAAGGGGGCUUCGGCUCUCGCCUUUAGAUUGGCCCAAGUGGGAUUAGCUAGUUGGUGAGGUAAUGGCUCACCAAGGCGACGAUCCCUAGCUGGUUUGAGAGGAUGAUCAGCCACACUGGGACUGAGACACGGCCCAGACUCCUACGGGAGGCAGCAGUGGGGAAUAUUGCACAAUGGGCGCAAGCCUGAUGCAGCCAUGCCGCGUGUGUGAAGAAGGCCUUCGGGUUGUAAAGCACUUUCAGUCAGGAGGAAAGGUUAGUAGUUAAUACCUGCUAGCUGUGACGUUACUGACAGAAGAAGCACCGGCUAACUCCGUGCCAGCAGCCGCGGUAAUACG